This is a long non-coding RNA of Larimichthys crocea (large yellow croaker), 3594 nucleotides long. RefSeq lists it as uncharacterized. The transcript is spliced from 4 exons. NCBI's taxonomy places the organism in Eukaryota, Metazoa, Chordata, Actinopteri, Sciaenidae. The record is from RefSeq and is a predicted model, not a curated record.
GAAAAGAAAAAAUACAUUUUGGUCAUAUUUACAAUUUCAUUUUGACACUUUACAAACAUUCUCUGCAUUCUGAGGGUCAACGAUUGAGUGGACUGCCUGGGCACUUGGUCACUUGUUGCUAUCAUUUCAAACAAUGAUAAUGAAUAACUAUGGCUCAUUCUUUAUUUUCUGCCAAUUCACUGAAAAACUAAACUAGAGAAACUAAUCAGUUUCAAAAAGAUUUUGAAUCCAGAUUUUCUUUCAUCAUGCACCCACAACAAAAAUGCUUAGAUUUCUAUUUAGUUAGUUUAAUUGAAGUACUAAUUUAAAGAAAUUAUAAUGUAGCCUUCUGUUUUAUACAUUAAAACUAUAUGCUGUCAGGUUGGGGACGGACAAAACAAGACAUUUAAAGACAUCACCUUUCUGACAUUUUAUUGAUCAAACGAUUAACCAAUUAUAACAAAUACUAGCCUAAACAGUUCACUACACAAAUAUUUUGACAGUGUCAGUCUUGAAUCUUUCCCACUAGGUGAGGAUUAGUUCCUUUGCAAAUGUUAAUUAAUAGAUUCACCCGUGUCUCUUAUUAUGGCUCAGACAUUACUGCUAAAUAUGUUUCGUUAAUAAAGUGACUUCUGAAGUGACUUCUUCUAGAAUCGAUCCAAACAACUUUUUGUUGCAAUAGUACUAGUUACACUGAGCCCAUAUAAUUUAAAAUCAAAAUCAAUAACAGUGUGUGCAAACAGUAAGCAAGACAAUUUUCAGCUUGCAUAAGUUUGCGGCAGGCACCUAGGGUGUGCGCCUUUGUUGGCACCUCGCAGCUCGAUGCAGACAGGUUGAAAACCGAGAAAGAAGAUAAAACCACUUUUUAAAUCACUACAUUAAAAAAAAAAUCUGAUCUAUUAGGUAUCAAAUCAGUAUGGCGUCAGUUUCAAAUAUCGUUUUGGUAUCCAAUAUCAUGACAACACUAAUAAAGACUGACAAUUUGGCAGAAAUUGAUGCAAUGUCGGGACGAACUUUUAGCAUUUUCCAGCUAUUUCAGCAACUUUUUACAGGUGAACCACCUCUGAAGAACUGCUGAUAGUUAAAAACGUGCCUGUCCAAGCUAUCCUGCCACAGCAAAUCCACACUGACCAUCCCCUCACAACAGAUUUUAUGCAUAAUACUAUAGAACAGUACGUGACAUGUUACACAUAUACAUAGACAAAUUUUAGGGUGGGUCUCCUGUGGGCUUUGGUGUAAUGUAUGCUGCAUAAUGUAGAGGAAAAAUAAACAAACACAAUAAGAAAAAGGAGCCUUAAUACUGCCUGGCAAUAUCCUUCCUCAUACAUGAGACAAAAAGAACGCUUCAACAGGUUUGGUGGGUUGUCAGCACUAUGAGUUACGUGGAGUCCAAGCAAAUCUGUUGAAUGUACUAAGCAUAACCUCACACCAACUUACUCCUACUAAACAAACAUGGCCCCGUGGGUGUUGACUUUACUGUAAGCCUACAGCCCCACCUAAACAUGCAUUCAAGCCAUUUAGCCGUCCCCUAUAAAGUUUGUAACGCCACAAUCACAUUGGGUAUUUACGUCUCAAAAGACAAGCCGACGAAACACACAACCCUGUUGGAUCUUUACAUGUCAAACUGAGCCAGAAUGUCUCUGGCGGCCCGUCUCUGUUUAGUCUCUGUUGCUGUUGUAGCUCUGUGACUGUGGAAAGCUCUCUCGCACUAGUACAAGCUAAGCCGUGGUAAAAAGAGAGGCAGGUUUGGCUCGGGAUCAGAGCUAAGUGAAAAGGUUAGGACUGCUGAGAGUAAUCUUUAGAAGUGGCCUUCAAAGCAUGAAGUCCCCACAACAACAGGUCAUAUGACCUUUUGGGUAAAAGAAAUGUUGGGUCAAUAGCAGCACCCCUUACAUGAUAGAAGGCUUGACAGUGCGAUGUGUAAAUAAUAAAAAAAAAGGUAUCUGCUACUCUCUCAGCCUGUCAUAAAUAAGAGGGUGAACAUCUAACACUUGCUGUAAUGGGCAUACUUAUGUACAAAAUAAUUAUCAACAUAAUAUGAGAAAAGCCAGGCCAGCCCAAAUGCUGGGGCCAUCUAAACCAAACUGUUCAAGCCACUUCCUUUUAUGGUUGCACUUCAUGUCCCUGCCGUGGUACAUCACUCUGUUCACAAGCUGCAUGUAAACCUUAUCUGUAUGAUUUAUCACUGUAUGCAAAGAUGUAACCUUUUCUGCUUAAAGCAAAUCAAUUAAAAUUUCCUAGUUGUUCUUUACUAUUUGUAAUGACAUUUAUGACAUGUCAUAUUAUUUAGCAGCUCUUGCAGGAACUCUUCGGUCAUCGUUUUCCCAGGACAUGAAAACAAAAUAGUAACCAUAGACAUAAUCAUAGUUCAAACUUUGAACUGAAUGCUGAUCAAAUGACCAAAGGCGGCCUGGCUUCAGAAGAAGAUAGACGAGAAAACUGGGUGUGCUGGAAAACCACAGAAACAGUGGCUUGGUGAUAUUCAGUUUCUUUUCCAUCCCUGACAACUUUAAGGCAGUGCCCACUAGUUGUGCAUGAAUGUAAUGAUUUGGACGGCCUAUGCAUAUGCGAAGGGAUACAUCGAAAUGUAAACAACCCGUUAGUUGUGCACAAAAUGGCAGAAUCGCUUGGUGGUGAUAGAGUUAUGUAUGUUUUGAUCAGAAAACUGCACUAUUCAUAGGUGCUCUGUGUGUGCGUGUGUGUUUGUGUGGGUGUUGUAUUAGUGCUGAUGCAUGUCCAUCAGCACUAAUACACCAUAAAGUGCUACUAAACACUUGGACUUCAUGGCACUUGCAACCCACAUAGAAACUAAUGAAGUUUCCAUUAAGGAUAUCUUGGGCCCAUCUGAUAAUGUUAGUGCAUUUCUGCCUAAGCGGAGCUUGUCAUCAUGUCUUUGUAAUGCAUUAUAAUGGGUUAAAUGAGAAAGGCAUCAACGUUAGUUAACGAUGAAUAAAUGUGACAGUGCUAUGAUAUGACGAAACGCAGCGGCUUGUGUUAUUGUUUGACAGUGUGCUGCCAUGCAUGUGCAAGAAAUGACCGGUUUAAAAUGUCUAUCUGUGUAAAAUUGCGGGAGGAAAAAUAACAAAACAGAGGUGAGGUGGCAGCUCUCAGCUACAGACAGCACUCCACAGGACGCAGCUAGCUUCACGGCUCCGUGUGCCAAUGACAAAUCCUUGGAAACUGAUUACCGACAAAACGGUGCCAGGUCGGGGAGUUAAGUCGCCUUUCGAGAUUAUUUCAUUUGCAUAACAUGAACGCCUAAAGAAAGCAUACCCGGCGGUGGUGCCACUGUGGGGCCCGAGCAGAGCGGAGCUGCUGUCGGACGCGGACCGACCCGUCCGCCGUGAGUUCGACCGAGAGGGGGAAACCCUCCGCUGCAGCCAGCUGAGCGCAACCGGGCAGCAGAGACACCCAGGCGAGAGAAGAGCCGGCGGAGACGGGGAUGAUAUCCAAAAGCGGGGCGGCCGACACUUUGAAAGGCACACAAGGUGUCAGUAAAGCACCGCGCCUGGGAAAUGAAGCGAAGAAGAAGGUCACGUGACUCCCGCGGACGCGUUGGCUUGACAACCGCUGUAAUCUUCACCUGGUGCUAAACAAAGCGAGCACUCAGAAGAC